Molecule: unclassified non-coding RNA, 8511 nt
Filed under: Nilaparvata lugens (brown planthopper)
Lineage: Eukaryota; Metazoa; Arthropoda; Insecta; Hemiptera; Delphacidae
Description: putative uncharacterized protein DDB_G0286901, transcript variant X2
Source: RNAcentral
UUUUCUUUAUUUUUUUUAUUUCCUUUUUAAAUAUGUAAAUUUUCUUGUUUGUUAUUAAAAAAAAAAAAAAGAAAAGUAAUCAUGUCCGAAAAUUUAAUUGAGUAUUCAUUCUAGCUGGCCUAAGUUAUGGCAAUUUAUUUAUAUUUGUUGAAAACCUCAUUCAUCACAUAUGUAUCCAUAGUAAUUUCUACAAUUUCCGCUGUACAGCGGUCGUUGACUCGUAGACUCGUAGACUCGUAGACUCGUAGACUCGUAGUAUCACAGGAUGUCUUAGUUAUGGCCAUGGAAGCUGAAUCCUUGCUGACCAACUCAUCACAAGGAAACCAAUAUUUCCAGAAAAGAUCUAAAUUCGCCGUAAAAAGGAUACUUCAAGAACUUCUUGUGCAGUGAAAAAUUAAUAAGUGAAAAAUUUGAAUAAAGUGUACGGAGGCCUCCUCACUUCAAUACACCAGGUAUUUACGAAACAACCAAUAUUAAUUUAUGGAAAAUUCACAGGCAACUACUUCGCAAAAAUAAAAGGGACAGGAUAAUAAAUAAAUUUGUAAUUACUUGAUUUAAAUUUUGUUUAUUUUUUGGAAAUUCUAUUUAUUUGAUCUAUUAUGUAUAUUAAAUUGCAAACAUGAUUACAAUCUUAUUGUUGAUUAUUGAAUAUGCCUAACAAUCAUCAAUGACAAGUAAUGAAUGGGGUAAAUCUUGAAUUGUUGAGCUGUCAUAUCAUUCAAUUAUAAAUGUUGCUACUUAGAAGGGGUUGGAAAUUAAAUAAAUGGAAUAUUUUAGUUAAUAUAUUGAACUAUAUAUUCAAUUUAUUGAUUUAAAUAUUCGGAGGAUUAUUUCCUUCCCCAUCUCAAAGAUUAAUUUCAACUGCGGUAAACUGAGGUAACAUUUCAACUGCGCCUUACUCUGCGAGGUUUGCUUGCAAACUCUUUCAUUGAUUUAUCAAUAAUAUUGAAUGAUGUGUGACGGUCUCGGCUGUUCUUAUCCUUUCUUCUUUCAUUGAUGGUGGGGAGGAUUCAGGUUAAAAUUAAAAUACAAAAUCAAAUAUUAUUCAUCAUAAAUGAUCUCGAAUUAUAAGUAUUAUAUAAUCAUAUUAAUAAUUUAUUUAAGAAAAUGAUAAUAUGGGUUCACCGAAUAAAGUAGCAUCUAUGGAAUCUAAAAUAAUUAAUUAUUGGGAUGUUAAAAAAUCAGUUGAAGAGUGCUUCAAUUUCAAUUUGAUUCCUAUUAGAAAAUUCAAUCCUAAUUUUGUUACUAAAGAGAAUUUACUUUUCGAACUUGAAACAUUGGGAGUACCUACAGAUACAGUUAUUGACAAUGAUGUAGACACUUUAAGGGGAAAGUAUCGAGCAUUAGUUAGCAAUCCAGACCCAAAAAUUGCACGAAUUAUUUACGAUGAUGAGUCUAGUAAAAUUGCUAUAAAAAAAAUCCUUGAUUUAUUGACAGGGGAAGAUGAAUACUUGGAGAAAAUUCUUUCUAUGAGUAUUCCUGAUAAAAAGGUAAACAUUCAUAAAGCGUUAUCCAUUUUUCUACAUAUUCUCAAUCGAAUUGUUCAAUUAUUAACUUAUGCUAAAGAAGCAAAUGACCAAAAUCUAAUUAAGGGUAUUGAUGAGUCUAUUGUAUUAGCUCAGGCUACUUUUACUAAAUUGAUCGACUUGUGUGAAUGCUUUAGUAGAUCUAGUUCGCCUCAUUUUGAAAAACAAAGCAGUCUUAGUACACCUGAUUCAAAAAUGAAUAAUCCCACACACGAUUCGAAUACUAAACUUCAUACUAAUACAGUAAAUCGCUUUAUUGCGCCAAUUCCUAGUACAAGUAAUAUGGAACAAAAUGUUACUCAGUAUUCACAAACAAAUGUUACCAAUCCUGAUAUUCAAGUUACUGAUUUUGAAAAUAUAAAUAAUAGUAAUACUGUCUCUAUGGUAGAACAGGUACAUGCUACAAUAAAUGAAAACUUGGGUAGGACUGUAUUCGGUAGUGAUUUCAAUACUAAUAGGGUAAACCUUGCAGCCAACUUGUCUUCACCUUUAUUUGGUAAUUUGUAUAAUAAAUUAUCAAAUCCUAUCGAAGGUCUGAUGAAGGAACUUCCGAAUACUGACGGAUUGAAUGUUGAUAGUUUGUUGAAAUUCAUUGAAAUAUGUUUGAAAAUAAAAGAACGAUCGAACUUAUUAGAUCAGCAACUUUUCCAUAUCAUUCACUCUUCUGUUGUAGGGCCUCUCGCCGAUCGAUUGAAUUUAGCUAUGAGUACAAAUAAGAGUUUUGAUGAAUUUCAUAAGGAUAUUCUGCAACAUUUUAUUCCGUCUAGAUUGAUUUCAAUCAUUGAAAGAGACCACUAUUAUCGUUUACAAAGGGCUGGUGAACCCUUGUCUGCUUACAUUGUGUCAAUCAAAGACGCUAAUAAACUACUAAGAUUAGAAAAAUCUGAGGAAGACGUAGUCAAUAAUAUUUGCUCAGGGUUGAAUCCAGAGGAAAGAAAUAGACUAGUUUUCCAAUCCAAACCAACUAGUUUUAAUGACUUAACUUCCAUCUCAGUAGUAUCUCAAAAUAUUCAAUAUGGGGAUUUAGAAAGAAAUAAAUACAAUUUUAAUACUAAUAAAAAUAAUCAAAAAUCUCCAAUGAAUGUUGAAUUAGCUCAAAGACGUUGUUACAAAUGCAACAAAGUAGGUCAUCUAGCUCAGUCAUGUAGAUCCAACAUGAAUAAUUCAAAUUUCAGAGGUACAAGCAGUAAUUCGAGAAAUCAUAAUCAGAAUCACCAAAGAUCUAAUAAUAAUUUCACUAGAGAUCUAUCUAAAAUACGUUGCUUUAAAUGUAAUGAAAGUGGACAUUAUGCAAACUCUUGUGAAAAUAAAAAAGCAUGACUAGCUGGGAAACAGUAUAAAAAGAAAAUAUACAGUAAAAGAAAAUUUCAAAACACCAAAUACAAUCAAAAAUUCAAUAAAGAAAACGGAAUUAAUACCUUGAAAUGUAGUGAUACUUUUUCUAAUGGUAAGAAGAAAUCAAUUCAAUCAAAAUAUACUGACAAAAAUCAGAAAAUGAAAAAUAAAAUAAAAAGAAAAAAGCAAAAGAAAUUUAAUCAGUUAAAGACUAGAGCUUUGAUUAAUAAAAUCACUCCUUUAAUAGUAUGUGAGUUAGGAAAUAACUGUGUCAGUUCUAUUGCAUUGAUUGAUUCUGGUUCUGAUUAUAGUAUCAUUUCAAGGAAAGUUUUUACUGAAAUAUUACGGGAUAAUGGUAAUCUGCUUAUUCAAGAGGAUAUUCAGCAUUGUGUUACUGCGAAUAAAAGUAAAUUACUGUUGAAAGAGUCAGUUCUAUUAAAAAUAAAAAUUGAAAACUUCAGUUGGAAAUUUCGUUUCUUUGUUCAUGAUGAUUUGUCAAUUCCUAUUGUUUUAGGUUGUGAUUUUAUUCAUUAUUCCAAAUUAGUUCCUGAUUUAUUCAAUAAUAGGUAUUUCUUUGGAUUUAAACCGCAAUUCAAAUUUUCUUUUGAAAAAAAUCACAGGUUGGAAUUACUAAAGAAAAUGAAUAGAAUUGGUACUGAUGUGGAAUUGGACGAUUUAAGCUCUUCGCAGAAAGUAGAAUUAAACAAAGUAUUAAAUCAAUUUGAUGAUGUUCUUACCCAUAAACUAGGUAAAUCGAACGUAAUAGAAUAUGAAAUUCGUCUGAUAGACAAUCAGCCCGUAAGGAAAGCUCCUUAUCAGUUAAAUCCGAUAAGAAUGGAAAUCUUAAAUAAAAAAAUUCAAAAAAUGUUAGAUGAUGGAAUUAUUGAGAAAUCAACUUCUAAUUAUUCCAGCCCUUGUUUCUUAGUUCCUAAGAAAGAUGGUGGCCAUCGUGUGGUAGUAGAUUAUAGAGCAUUAAAUAAAAAAAUUGCAUUAGAUGCUACACCUUUGCCAAACAUUGAGAGUACAUUCCAUUGGUUUAACGGUGCUAAGUUCUUUACUGUUCUUGAUCUUACUGAAAGCUAUUAUCAAUUGAAAUUAUCUCCAUCUUCUAAGCACUUGACUACUUUUGCAACUCCAACUCAAACUUACUGUUAUACUCGUGUACCGUUUGGUUUAUCAAUAGGUGCUCAAGCCUUAUCUACUGCUUUGAAUAUUUUAUUUGAAGGGAUAAAAUUCAAAUUUGUAAUAAAUUAUUUGGAUGAUAUUGUGAUUUAUUCUGAAGAUUUUGAGUCACAUCUUGAGCACAUUAAGAUAGUGUUGUCCAAACUUAAACAAGGUGGGUUUACUGUAAAAAAGGAGAAAGCUAAAUUUGCAAAAAAACAAAUCUCCUUUCUAGGUAAUUUAGUAAGUGAACAUGGUAUUACUAUUGAUCCAGCUCGGACAAAUUCAAUUCGUAAUUACCCUAGACCAAAAAAUGUCAAGGCUAUCUCCAGAUUCAUAGGAAUGGUAGGAUAUUUUCACAAAUUCAUUGAAAAUUACGCUGAAAUCGCCUCACCCCUCAACGAACUAAGAAAGAAGGAUAAAAAAUUAUUUGGGAAGAUGUUCACGAGAAAGCUUUUCAGAAAUUGAAAAAUGCAAUUAUGAACCCUCCUGUCUUAAUAACAGCUGAUUUUAAUAAACAGUUUGUGUUGCAAACUGAUGGGAGCUCCUUAUCAAUUUCUGCGGUCCUUUCUCAAUAUGUUGAUGGCAUCCUAAAGCCUAUUAGUUUUGCUUCCAAAAAGCUCACUCAACAAGAAUGCAAAUAUUCUACAUAUGAGAUCGAAUGCUAUGCAGCAAUUUUUGGCAUGGAAAGAUUUAAACUGUACUUACAACACACUAAAUUCUUGUUGUUAACAGAUAAUAGUGCCUUAGCAUGGAUUUUAAAACAAGACAAGCAAAUUGGUAGACUUAGUCGUUGGAUACUUAGGCUUUUAUCAUUUCAGUUCACAACACAGCAUGUAGCGGGAAAAGAUAAUUGCAUAGCUGAUGCUUUAUCCAGAAUGUACCAUGAUGACAGUGAAUUGCCUGAAAUUGAUGUCAAAGAUGAACAUAUAGAAGUAGAAAAUAGUCUAAACUUAAUAAACUCACUAAAAAUUACCGAUUUUCCACUAGUAUUCACUGACAUAAAACAACACCAAGAGAAUGAUCCUAUUUUAGCGGAUAUAAUAGAAAAGAUUAAUAAUAAUAUUGAUCAGUUUCCUUAUAGUUUGUCUAAAGGAGUAUUAGUGAUAAAACUAAGAAACCAGGAAAAACAAAAAAUAGUCAUACCCAAACUUCUUGUUCCUUUAAUCUUCAAAUAUUAUCAUGAAAGUAUGAUUGGUGCUCAUUUAGGUAUUGCUAAAACUAUUUCAAAAAUUCAAGAGAAUUUCCACUGGGUUGAUUUGAGGAAAGAUAUAAUUUAUUUAGUUAAAUCUUGUACUCUUUGUGCAAAAAGUAAACCAGCUCAGGCUACCAAUUACGGUUUUUUAUCAUCAAAAAUACAGGAAAAACCUCUUGAGAUGAUACAUAUUGACUUAGUUGGUCCAUUAGUACGCACAUCACAGAAUAACUGUUUUAUUUUUAGUGCAAUUGACGUUUUCAGUAAAUUCUGUUGGUUAAAAUGUUUGAGAAAAGCUAAUUCUGAAUCAGUAAUUAGAGCAUUGAAAGGUAUUUUUGCGAAUUUCUCUACUCCUAAACAAAUUAUUAGUGAUAAUGCAUCAAUUUUUAAAUCAAUCAAGUUUAAAAAUUUCUGUUUUCAAUUAGGAAUUCGUCAUAAUACGACUUCACCUUUCUAUCCUAAAGCAAACAUAGUUGAAAGAUUACAUCGUAAUUUGCGUAGCUCUCUCAUUGCUUUUCAUGCAAACUCACAGAAUAAAUGGGAUGAUACUGUAAAUGAUUGGUUAGCUUUAGCUUUUAAUACUGCUGAACAUGAUAGCAUUAAGUGCACCCCUUUUUCUCUGAUGUUCCGUUAUAAACCUAAAGAACCUCUUUUGAAUAUCUGGAAUAUUAAUGAAAUUUUACCUGAUACUGCCGAUGAGAACACUGUAGAAAUUUGGCAAAAGGCUAAAGAGCAAUUGAUGAAAAGUCAUAAUUAUAGAAAAACUCGCUAUGAUAGGAACCGUGUCCCUAUUCCUUUUGCUAUAGAUGACCUUGUAUGGGUCCGGACACAUAUUCUUAGUGAUAAGGCCAACCAAAUUUGUACAAAAUUAAGCUUCCGGUAUCGUGGCCCGCUAAAAAUAAAAAGAUGGUUAUCUGAUGUUACGGCUGAAUUAGUUGACCCUAUUACUAAUCGCUUUGUUCAAAAGGCUCAUGUCUCACAAUUAAAGAAAUAUAAUUCAUAAUUCCUUGUUUUGGAUAAUGUAGCCUGGUAUUCAUUCUUCCUUCUUAUCUUUGAAGUAAAGGGUAACGGUUUCGUCUCUGUUGUUUCUUACUGAGAGAUCGGCUCAUUGAUACUUUCUUCCUUUGGUUAUUUGUAGGAAACUCACUAUUAUUCUGGAACGUUUCUCUUCUGGUUAAAUUGUGUUGCCUUUGGUUUAGGUGUUUCUGAAGAGUAAAUAGUUGUUUUCUUUGGUGAAGCGCGCCACCUAUUGAAAUUUUAACUUUACUCACUUAUUUAAUUUCUUUAUGGAAUUGUGUAAAAUAUUGUACAAAAGAAUCUAUCUUAGCCUAUAAAUAGAUAGAAAUUUUAUUGAGAUCAUAUUAUUAGAUAGAUUAUUGAAAUAGUUUAUAGUUAUAAUUUUGCUUUAGUGUUAAUGAAUUUUGAUGAAUAGUGGUGAAUAGCAGUGUUUCUAUUUCAUCAGAUUGUUGUAAAUAAAGUAAGGGAAUAAAGUGAAUCAAAAGAAGAGUUUUGAUAAAUGAUAAAAUACUUGAAAAUGUAUAUUAUUAUCACUUAAUUGGGUAAUAGAGUAGAAAAAUAUUGGUUUCUGUAUGUAAAUAAUGUCAAGUGAUUUAUCUUUCAAAUUUUAUCAAGAGUGUAUGAAUUUUGUUAGAAUAAAAAAAAGGAUCAAAGAUAUAUAUAUAUAUAAAAAAAAGGGGUAGGCAAAUGAUCAUUAGAGAUGGAAUAUAUUCUUUGGGACUGAGAACUGAUUAAUUUUCUUUUGAAAUCUGAGUGUGGACGCAUGUUCAGAUAUUUCUUUGUUUGAAAGACUUCAAGUUUUUGUUGGGAGUGGCCAAUCCCUGCAUUAAUUUGUGGUCUAGUUUCUUCUGUUGUUAGAUUCUAAAUUUUUUUUUAUUAUUUCAAUGGUUACUCAGCUAUUGAGUAGGUUCCACCUCUGAUCUUCAUUGAAUUUGUAAUCAAGAGUUUUUAUUUGAUUUUUAUUUGAUGUUGAGUUUUGAAUUAAUAAUUUUACAAAUAGAUGAUUUAUUUCUUGGAAUAAUUCAACUCUAAGAGUGAAUAUUUCUCAACUCAAAUUCUUAUGAAGCAUUCUUCUCUGAUAAAUUCUAUAUAUAUGUUAAUUCAACUUAAAAAUUAUCUUAGCUAGCUCAAAUUUUUUUUUUAGAAUGUAGCUUUCACACACUUGAGUGGAGGGAGUAUGUAACAAUUUUGGACAUGAUUAUUUUUAUCUUGUUUUUCUGUUAUUUCGGUUCUAAAUUCGAUUGUAUUAUCAGCUUGUUUUUCUCAGUGAGACAAAGAUGCACUUAUGGGAUCGAGCUGUACCCUUCGAAUAAUCUACUUUCUUGUUCUCUCCAGUUCUUUUUUGCUAUUUUCUUUCUCCCUUUUUCUGUCCUUGUUGGUAGCUUUGAGUUUGCAUUGCUCUUUCUCUCUAGUUUCUUUGUCUAAUUUUGAUAAUUCCGUUUUGCUUACGUCACUGUCUUGUUUGCUACCCCGUCUUCAACGCUCGAUGAUCCAUUCUGUCUCUGAAUUUCGUGAGUGGAGGUUGUAAAUUUAACUUUUUCCUUUGAUUCCAUUUUUAUUUAGCUUAUGCUAAAUUUUUCUAUUUAUUACAAUAUGUAGUUGAUCAGAGACAGAUUUCAUACAUCACAAGUUGUGAUAUUAUUAUUUUCUUUAUUUUUUUUAUUUCCUUUUUAAAUAUGUAAAUUUUCUUGUUUGUUAUAAAAAAAAAAAAAAAAAAAGAAAAGUAAUCAUGUCCGAAAAUUUAAUUGAGUAUUCAUUCUAGCUGGCCUAAGUUAUGGCAAUUUAUUUAUAUUUGUUGAAAACCUCAUUCAUCACAUAUGUAUCCAUAGUAAUUUCUACAAUUUCCGCUGUACAGCGGUCGUUGACUCGUAGACUCGUAGACUCGUAGACUCGUAGACUCGUAGUAUCACAGGAUGUCUUAGUUAUGGCCAUGGAAGCUGAAUCCUUGCUGACCAACUCAUCACAAGGAAACCAAUAUUUCCAGAAAAGAUCUAAAUUCGCCGUAAAAAGGAUACUUCAAGAACUUCUUGUGCAGUGAAAAAUUAAUAAGUGAAAAAUUUGAAUAAAGUGUACGGAGGCCUCCUCACUUCAAUACACCAGGUAUUUACGAAACAACCAAUAUUAAUUUAUGGAAAAUUCACAGGCAACUACUUCGCAAAAAUAAAUGGGACAGGAUAAUAAAUAAAUUUGUAAUUACUUGAUUUAAAUUUUGUUUAUUUUUUGGAAAUUCUAUUUAUUUGAUCUAUUAUGUAUAUUAAAUUGCAAACAUGAUUACAA